GGAGCUGGGCAUGCAGAGCAGCGCCCCAAGAGCCUUCUCCCCUGCUUACAGGGGGCUGGGGCCGCUGCCCAAACUGCAGAAGGCCCGGGGCCCCAGGGCACUAGCCACUCCCUGAGUUACAGGGCAGCCCGGGGCCCCGCGCACGAGGAGGCUCCUUUUCUCCCAUGCAGGGGCACGCUGACCUGGGCCCCGCUAACGGGCUGGUCGCCCCAAACAAGCUGCCAGCUGAGCACAACGGCUCCGGACCCGGGCCCCGAUUACAGGCAGGUCCACGACACCCAGGCAGACAGGGAGCUCAGCCUUCCCCCACAGCCACAGGAAUGACUCUCAGCAGCCAGGCAGCGGAGCACGCUGGCCACAGGCCCGCACCCCAGCCCCGACUACAGGCAGGGUCCAGCCAGCCCGGCCCCACGCCUCUGAAAGGCGGCGGCCCCAGACACCCACCUCCUUGCAGGGGGUCGCUCCGAGCACCUGCCGCAGAGCGCAGCGCAGGGGACGCGCACAACCCUGCUUACAGGGCCGUCCCCACAACGCUCCGCGCCACCCACCAGCCCCACAAAGCUGGGGGCUCUGACCUACGCCCGAGCUACGGGCUGGCCAUCCUGGCUGCAGCACAACAGCGUGUCUUCCGGAGCCCGGGGGGACCUCAAGCCCAGCUGCGGGCAGCCCCCCCCCCAAAAAAAGGAGCACCGGAGCCCAGACGGCACCCUCCGGCACUGCACUUCCUCCGCCUGCCCCCUUACAGGGCCUCGGAGGGGUCAUUCCUGGUGGCUGGCUAAAGCAGCAGGCCGCAGGAGGGCACGAUCCCUCCACCUGCCUUACAGGCGGGCCAAGCUGCUCCGGGUGACAAAGGGCUCCGCAGCUCCUGACGCGCACCCUGACUGCGGGGCGGUCACGCUGGCCACGCUGCCAGCAGGACAGGCAGCCACGCGGGCAGAGACCUGGGCCCCGACUACGGGCAGGUCCCAUUGCCCACGCUAGCACCAAGUGGCUUGGCUCUGCCCGAGCAAGCAAGGGGCAAGCCGGAGCUCUCCCCCUCCUCAAAUCUGGGGCUCAGGGAGGACCCUCCGUCGCUGCACUGAGCUCUUCUUUCAGGCCUGGGAAGCUGAAGCUAGUACGCUGCAGCGCUUUGUACAGAGGCCUAAAGGACAAGCACACUCGCUCGCUCACGCGCUCCAACAAGGACAGAGGACAAGAAGAAAGACACAAAGACAGGAGACAAGGACAAGGACAAACAUGACUUUCCAGGAGGGAAAGAGAGCCCAGGGCAGCCAAUGUCAGGGGACCAAGCCGUACCCAGGAGCGGGAGGAGAGGCUCCGACCUGCCCCCAACGCUGCAGGCAGGCCACAGCCCUCAACGUGCCAAGGGGCUUCUCGUGGUGCCAAAGGGCAAACGCUGUGACACACCCCGACGACAGGGGGUCACGCUGGCCACGCUGCCAGCGGGCGGAAAGCCGCGGGGGGCAAGGGCCCUCCCCUGCUUACAGGGCGGGCAUGGGUUCCAGCGAGCUCCCUUUCCCCCUCAGGUGCGGAGGAAGCGACUACUCCCACCCUCCUUACAGGGUCGUCACUCUCUCCAGGCAGCCAAAGGAGCAACGUGGCAAAAGCCAAACUACAGCAAAGACCCGAGCCCUGCUUACAGGGAGGUCGCCCAGCGCAAAGCGAGCAAGGCCACCAAAGGUGCCAGCCAUGCUCUCACGGGACCGCAGCCCUGCUUCCAGGGCCCGCCCUUUGCCCAGAGUGCCUUUCUCUUUCCCCCUCUUCCUCCUCACUCUUGAC
Molecule: long non-coding RNA, 1779 nt
Organism: Struthio camelus australis
Lineage: Eukaryota; Metazoa; Chordata; Aves; Struthioniformes; Struthionidae
Source: Ensembl